This 117-nucleotide ribosomal RNA is filed under the name Salvator merianae (Argentine black and white tegu). The record is from RNAcentral. Lineage: Eukaryota; Metazoa; Chordata; Lepidosauria; Squamata; Teiidae.
AGCCUCAGCAGAUGGCAGCAUUUAGCUGACCUUGUCUGAUCUCAGAAUACUAAACNGGGUUCAGCUUGAUUAGCACUUGGAUUGGACACCAUGUGGUAAUCCCAGGCCUGGAGGUUA